This 465-nucleotide long non-coding RNA is filed under the name Olea europaea subsp. europaea. Lineage: Eukaryota; Viridiplantae; Streptophyta; Magnoliopsida; Lamiales; Oleaceae. The record is from RNAcentral.
AGCUUCCUUCAUCAUUAGCAAAUAUUUUGUGUAAAUGCAGAACAUUGUAAGCAAAGUGUUGCAAUCAGCUAUUUGCGAGCUAGUCAAGGCCAUAACCUGGAAUGUCUUUAAAUCUUCACAUGAAUAUUAUGUUCCAAUCAAGAUGAUGUAAAAGGCCAUCCUCUUUUUGAUAAUGACACUUGACUCAAGAACUAUGAUAUUGGUCUAAGCAUCUUAUCCUAAAAACUAAGCAAAUUUAUGCUACAAAAAUUAAUUCUUGUCAGCUAUAGAAUCCUCCCCUUGCUCAUCCUGCUUACCAGAAAAUUUAGAAUAGAACUGCAAAACUUUUGAAUGUGCCUUAAUCUUUGAGGGAUCAAAACCUGCCAAAUGAAGGCCUCUCAAGAGUCUUACUCGUGAAAGUGCAACAUAGACCAUCCCGAAGUCAAAAACACGCUUGAGAUCCGUAUGGAGCUUGUCAAGAGUCAU